AUUUUAAAACAUUACAUGGCGCCCGAUUACUGAGGUCUAAAGGUUCAGGGUACGCCCCCGGUCUUCGGUCUUUUGCUCGAGGAUCGGCUGGUCAUUCGUUGUGUAUUUUUUUUUUGUAACGUGUAAAAAGAACAAAUUGUGUGGUGGUGGUGUUUCUUCAUUUACCCCCUAGUGAAUAAGAUUUAUCGCGUUCAUAUUGAUGUGUGCUUUAAAUGAAACAAGUUAAUUUACAUAUACCUACUAUUUUGUAUAACUGUUUUUAAAUUUACAUUUGCAUUAUAUAUUUCUUUUGCUUUGCAUACUUUUAAAGUUUGGACUUUGAACUCGUAUAGCAUUUUAUAACAUCACAUUGUUAAAAAAAAAUUAUACUGCGUUGCAGCUAUUUUGCUGUAUAAUUAAACUUCUUAAAUUGUUUCUUAAAAUUUUGAGCUUACUUUUUUGUUUUUAUCACAAAUUUGCUUUUAUAAAACAAAACAUUAUAUACCCUACAAAGGUUUUUUUUUAAUGUAACUUUAAAUUUUUAACAUUCUUGAGUAAAAUUAUUAUUGUUGCUAGUUUACUGCUUAGCUUUGCUAUAAGUACAGCUUUUUUCUUCAAAAUUUUAUGAAACUUGGCGUGAGUUUAGAAUUAUAUUUUUGUUUUAUACCCUCAAGGUUUAUUUACAAUUUGUAAAUUCUUUCAAAUUAUGCAACAAUUUAUAAAAGCAUUUCGGCCUAAUUUCAAUUAAACAUUUAACUUGCUAUCUAGUAAAAUUAUAGUUCUUGGUUGUAUAACCACGGCUAUACAUAAGUACCUACAUGCUUGUUAUCUAUCUUGCAUUCCUUUUGAGCUUAUAGCGAAUAAACUGGUUUUGUUUUUUUUACACGCUCGUUAGUAUUACGUGUACGAUCUUUUAUUGUUGAGCUAUUGUUUGCUUAAUAGUUUUGUAUUCUAUUACCGGAUAAAUUCUAAUAAGUAAAUCUUUUGAAUUGGAUUGGAAAUACGUUAAAUAAACAACAUUUAUACAUUGUUAGUUUUACAAAUAACUUAUUUUUUUUACAUUUGCAUUUUGUUUAUUUGCAUUUAUUUUUACUUUUCAAGUAGGUAUUUAGUUAAUGAAAAUAUUCUUUGAUUAUUUUUUCUUUAAAACUUAGUACUUAGUUAAAUCUUUGUUAAAGUACAUUGGUCAUUCAUUUUUUUUUAAUCAUGGCAUUGGAAGAACGUCCAAUUAAAUUUCAUCUAUUACGUAAAGAUGAAAUAAUUUACGAGGUAUUAUUUCGUGGUGCAGGGCCACCACUUGUACUAUACAUCUUCACAUUUUGAAGGUGUGGGUACACCGGCAGCGUUGGGGAAUCAUUAGGUUAGUUGUCUUUUAGGUUAGUUAUAGGAGCCGAUUUACUGGUGGACGCGCGGCCGCUGUGGGGCUCGCCGCGCCGCCACUGGCAAAUUGUGGCCUAUUAUAUUGUGGACGGUGGACGUGUGGGCAUACCCUAGGUUCCCCAUACUGCCACUGUCCACAUACAUUUUUAUUAUUUUUUUUCUAUCUUUAUAUCCGAGCAGCUUGCGGGUGGACGCGCGGCAGCACCGGCGGCACGCCGCGCCGCCAUCAACAAGUUGGGUCGUUUUUUUUUUAUAUCUUUUUUUAUAUUUUUUUUGUUUCGCGUUAGGUAGGGAUUAGUACCUAAUCGUGUGGUUUGUUGAUGGUUGGGGUCGAGCACUCGCCAAUUGUAAGGUGAGGUCACUUCCCCACCAUUUUAAGAUGUUGAGGGAGUGGUGGUUGUGACUGAUGGCUUUUGAAGUCGUUAGUGUUCGUUGGUGGACGUAGUUAUUGCUACGGACACGUAUUAUUGUUGUAAUGAGUCAUUGCGACUUGCUUACCGACAUGUUUUUGGCGCUCGUAUGCGCGCUAUUGAUGCGAUUUCUUGGAUGCGAAGUAUUUCUUGGAUGCGAAGUAUUUCUUGGAUGCGAAGUAUUUCUUGGAUGCGAAGUAUUUUUUGGAUGCGAAGUAUUUUUGGAUGCGAAGAAUUUCUUGGAUGCUAUCAGAUGUUGUUGUGCUCAUGGUGAGCACGGGUGGUUUAUGUGCCGUCUCGGCAAGUUUUUACGUUGCGCGGCCUCCGCCGGCAAUGGCAUUUCUGCCUUUAUUUUUUUUUCUAUUCUUUUUAAGUUUAUCUUUUUACUGUUUGUACCGAAUGGCAUUUUUUGCCUUUAUUUAUUUUCAUUGAUAUAGUUUUACUUUUUUAUUUUAAAUUAUUUCUCUUUUAAGUUAAACUUGAAUAUUUUUGUGGAGGUUUGAGUUUUGGUUUGUUUGAGGGAUCAGCUGGAGGGCCAGCUGGGAUUUCCUCGUUUGUUUUAUUUUUUUAAUUAUUUUUUUUUCACUCGGAAAUCCUUUUGGGUGGGGAGGUAUUGUAGUGCCGUUUCUUUCAGCCUCCGGAUUAGUUACAGGGGACCCGUUUUAUAGCUUUUUUGUGUAGUAUUGGACACAGCGCCAUCUCGCGUUGUUCAGUGGAAGGUCCGGGACCAUCGACUUGCUAUCGUUGGGCUCCGCAGUCGACGACUUUCCAUCAGUAACCGGAGGAUGGUGUGUGCCGAUAUUAUACGGAAGGCUAUAUCUUGGAGUCCCUUGUCAAGUAGCUGCUGAAGAAUGUUGGUGUCAAUAUUUAAUACAAAAUUAUAUUUGGGAAUUUUCGGUCUGUCUCCUGUCCUUGGAGUUGUUAAUAACUUGCAUGUUGAGUGUGCGACGGCGGCGUCAUCUAACGGACGAUUGAGGUCGUACUAGCUUUGUCCGUGACGUAGGCGUUGAAUUGGGCGAUUUAUAUAGUCCUGCGCCUGCGAGCUGCCGCAUUCCCCAGACAGCGCUCCGCCGAGCGGGUGUGUCCACACCUUCGAUUUUUAGUGUGAAUUUCGGGUGAGAAUUUGUCUUUAUAAUGCGUUAUAGCAUUUUAAUCGUAAUUAUCAGUGUCGAUAUAUGUUGUCAUUGUUUUUCUUUUGGGCGGUUUAUAAGCGUGUGACCGGUGGCCCGCAACUCCGUCGCACGCGCCGCCAAAUCUUCGUAAAUUUUUAUUCUGGUAAGUAAGUUAUACAUUUCUGUCAUCUGUCGUGACUCGUGAGUGUUAGUGUUUGCGGUCAAGAUUUUAAUGUGCGAUUUGUUCCGAAUAGGUGUGGUUUUGGUGUCCGUGGCGUGGACACGUUGCUCCGCCAUUUUGUCCCAGCGUCGUGGCAUCGACGUCAUCGUACGUUGGCCGCAUACGUGGCUUCUCGACCUCCGACAGGUGAGUCUUUUUAUACGAUUUUGGGGAGUUAGUUAGGUUGUGCCUCCGCCCCUAGAGGUUUGAUUUACCCCUGUGCGUUUUGUCCACAGGAGGUGUUUUGCGAAGGUGUUUUGUGACGGCUGUUUUACGAAGGCUGUUCUGUUCUAUGACGGGUGUUUUGUACAGCUGUUCUGCUACAGCUUAUUGGCAGCUGCUUCUAGUCGGCUCGGCUUCCUUCCCGCCGCCGAGGGCAAACGAGCUAGGGAGGUUUUUAUAAUACCUUUCUUAUUUUUUUUUAUAAUGCUUAACGAAUGACCAGUGGCCUUGAAUACCUGGAAUGUACCCUUAGGAUUUAAAAGUUCCAAAUACUUAUUUAUAUUUUUGUGUAACUUUGGUUUUCUUAGUAAUUAAUAAAUACAAGUAAACCA
Pectinophora gossypiella (pink bollworm) is the source of this 3655-nucleotide long non-coding RNA. RefSeq lists it as uncharacterized. The transcript is spliced from 2 exons. The record is from RefSeq and is a predicted model, not a curated record. NCBI's taxonomy places the organism in Eukaryota, Metazoa, Arthropoda, Insecta, Lepidoptera, Gelechiidae.